CCUACGGGGGGCAGCAGUGGGGAAUAUUGUACAAUGGGCGCAAGCCUGAUGCAGCGACGCCGCGUGAGGGAUGACGGCCUUCGGGUUGUAAACCUCUUUCAGCACAGACGAAGCGCAAGUGACGGUAUGUGCAGAAGAAGGACCGGCCAACUACGUGCCAGCAGCCGCGGUAAU
RNAcentral lists this ribosomal RNA (174 nucleotides) under uncultured bacterium. RNAcentral's name for it is "partial 16S ribosomal RNA". It matches the Rfam family "Bacterial small subunit ribosomal RNA", at positions 338 to 524 of the family's 1533-position model. The record is from RNAcentral.